Molecule: ribosomal RNA, 253 nt
Filed under: uncultured bacterium
Lineage: Bacteria
Description: partial 16S ribosomal RNA
Rfam family: Bacterial small subunit ribosomal RNA
Source: RNAcentral
UACGUAGGGCGCAAGCGUUAUCCGGAAUUAUUGGGCGUAAAGAGCUCGUAGGCGGUUUGUCGCGUCUGCCGUGAAAGUCCGGGGCUCAACUCCGGAUCUGCGGUGGGUACGGGCAGACUAGAGUGAUGUAGGGGAGACUGGAAUUCCUGGUGUAGCGGUGAAAUGCGCAGAUAUCAGGAGGAACACCGGUGGCGAAGGCGGAUCUCUGGGCCUUACCUGACGCUGAGGCGCGAAAGCUAGGGGAGCAAACAGG